ACCUCGCUCUCCACUACUUUUAGA
This 24-nucleotide non-coding RNA is filed under the name Arabidopsis thaliana (thale cress). The record is from RNAcentral. Lineage: Eukaryota; Viridiplantae; Streptophyta; Magnoliopsida; Brassicales; Brassicaceae.